This 496-nucleotide ribosomal RNA is filed under the name uncultured bacterium. RNAcentral describes it as "partial 16S ribosomal RNA". It matches the Rfam family "Bacterial small subunit ribosomal RNA", at positions 28 to 506 of the family's 1533-position model. The record is from RNAcentral.
GAUGAACGCUGGCGGCGUGCCUAAUACAUGCAAGUCGAGCGAACAGAUGAGGAGCUUGCUCCUCUGACGUUAGCGGCGGACGGGUGAGUAACACGUGGAUAACCUACCUAUAAGACUGGGAUAACUUCGGGAAACCGGAGCUAAUACCGGAUAAUAUAUUGAACCGCAUGGUUCAAUAGUGAAAGGCGGUUUUGCUGUCACUUAUAGAUGGAUCCGCGCCGCAUUAGCUAGUUGGUAAGGUAACGGCUUACCAAGGCAACGAUGCGUAGCCGACCUGAGAGGGUGAUCGGCCACACUGGAACUGAGACACGGUCCAGACUCCUACGGGAGGCAGAAGUAGGGAAUCUUCCGCAAUGGGCGAAAGCCUGACGGAGCAACGCCGCGUGAGUGAUGAAGGUCUUCGGAUCGUAAAACUCUGUUAUUAGGGAAGAACAAAUGUGUAAGUAACUAUGCACGUCUUGACGGUACCUAAUCAGAAAGCCACGGCUAACUACGU